RNAcentral lists this ribosomal RNA (254 nucleotides) under uncultured bacterium. RNAcentral describes it as "partial 16S ribosomal RNA". It matches the Rfam family "Bacterial small subunit ribosomal RNA", at positions 524 to 776 of the family's 1533-position model. The record is from RNAcentral.
CACGGGGGGAGCAAGCGUUGUUCGGAAUCACUGGGCGUAAAGGGCGUGUAGGCGGUCUGGUAAGUGGGAUGUGAAAGCCCCCGGCUCACCCGGGGAUCUGCAUUCCAAACUGCCAGACUUGAGUAUGGGAGAGGACAGGGGAAUUCCUGGUGUAGCGGUGAAAUGCGUAGAUAUCAGGAGGAACACCGGUGGCGAAAGCGCCUGUCUGGCCCAAUACUGACGCUGGAUGCGCGAAAGCUAGGGGAGCAAACGGG